Molecule: non-coding RNA, 13880 nt
Organism: Podarcis lilfordi (Lilford's wall lizard)
Lineage: Eukaryota; Metazoa; Chordata; Lepidosauria; Squamata; Lacertidae
Source: the annotation of a GenBank genome assembly
GUUUAGUCUGUUCGAGUAUAAGGCAUAUUUUCAUUUUCUCACAUUCAUUUUUUUUUUUCUGCCAUCUCCAGCUGGAAUAUUUCCAGCCCUGAUAUCAUUCUGCAUGGCUGCUCUGGCUUGACAGUCACCAUCUGUCUCCUUUACUUACGAUUAUAAAUCUAAGAAAUGGCCCAGGUAAAAUGGCAUGCCAGCCAGUCAACAUGCCCUACAGAGAAAUCUUAUCAUGCACAAUCACAGUAAUGUAUUCUCCUUCUGCAUUUUUGUUAGUUUAAGAAUUUAAUUUCCGUUAAUUUUGUGGUCUACUUUAUAUGCAUGGGAAACAAAUUUUGCACUAGAAAGAUAAUUGAAAGCAACAAUGAACUUGUCCUACUUUAUCUUUUUUGAAGUUGAUUGAGGGAGAGGAGAAAGAGAGAGGGAAUUGGCUAAAAACAUGGAGCAUGGGAAGGGAACAGAACACAAGUCAACAGUGUGACAAGCUGGAUAGUGUCCAUAUCAUAUCUUGCAUUAACUGCAAGAUCAGAACAGAACCAACAGAUGUACAAAUCAACACGAAUACAAUCCAUUAUUCAGGGAACCUGCAUGUUGCAGAGUUCACUUCCCAGCCACACAGAGGGCUGAUGUGUAUAAAUAUUCGUACACACACUAACUCUCUUCUGACCUUUAGGUGAGCAGGUGAAGGUGAGGGGAUGCGCAGCAGGUAUGAUCCCUCUCUCCAUGCAUUUCUCUCCAUAGGUAUGAUUGUUUGAAUGGGGUUUAGUUUGGCCUUCACAUCAAUAUGUUUCAAGAGAUCACUUACACCCUAAGACUGAAAUCUUAUACUUACUCAGGAGUAAGCCCCAUUGAACAUAGUGGAACUUAUGACCAAGAAAACAUGCAUAAUAUUGCACAGUUAGAUUCUGGAAGGGUACUGUAUCAACUGUAUAUUGGCAUCCAAUAUUAAAAUAAUAUGCAAAUCGUGCAGUUACAGGCUCUGUUCUCUGUCCUGCUUAUUUGUGCUGAACAAGUUACACAGCUCUGCCCUAAGGUUUCUAAGCAGAUCUCAUCUUCGAUUGUAUUUCUUUGGUUAAUUAAGCUUUGAAGUUAUCAUAUUUCCUAAUUUUGGUAUAACAGCUGAUUUGCUUCAGCUGCAGGAACACAAUUUCUAAAACUAAGAGGAUGUAGAGUACAAAUGGAAUAGGUUAGAUAUCUGUGGCAGUUUUAAAUAAAAGAAACAUAUUGGAUUCAAGCCAUGGAUGGCCAUAUUAAUAGCAAAGUUUCUGGAGGAAUUAUAAUAUAUUGAAACUAUUUGUUUUGUGCACACAUUCUAUUAUCCAGCUACACUGCAGCAAUUUUUUGAGGGGGGGAGCCACAAUUUACAAAUAAACAACCCAGUAGGAUUCAUAACAGCUCACUGUUCUCUUUGACACAGACAGAAAACUAUUCCCUUAGAUGAGGCUAAUAUGGGAAAGUCUAGACAGAAAACAUUAAAACUGAACUUUUCAUGGGAGUUACAUUAUUCUAUAGCAAGGUCAUAGCUUGCAUUCUGGCAAAAUGAUAGACGACAACACAGUGGAUGCAAUAUUUUUCAGAAGUAGUGCGCACACUCUCUUCCUAUACAUCUGUAUAUUUCUUUUUUAAAAAGAUGUUUAUUCAGACACCCUGAACAAUUAUGAUAUAACUAAUUAGCUACUGAAAAUUCAAAAAUUCACAGUGGUCCUGGAGCAGAGGAUAGGUAUUGCCUUUUAUAAAAUCUACUUCUCCUAGUCUAAUGACUAUUGACUUUUAUGGAGUUAUUCUCUUGUUUUGGUGAUCUGAACAAUUUUUGCAAAUGAAAAGUUGUAUAGAGAUAUUUUAAAUGAACAAAAAUAGUGUGGGGUGUGCAGGUUUUAGAUCUGCUCAGAUCUGUCAAUGGGGCAAAAUGGAGUGCUAGCUAAUCCUUCCUGCCCAGAGAAGCAGCCCACGCCAUCCUAGACCCUUAGCCACGAGGGGUCAAUGUCAGAGUGAAAUUCCCAGCCAUGCUGCUUGCCUUGGCUGUUGGAUGCCAGUCAAGCAGAAUGUUUUAAUGGUUUAUGAGCAAGUGUUUCACACCGCUUGGUACAUUCUGCCUCAGUUACAGCCAGGCAACUUGGCAGUGUCAGGAUACAGGCAGAAUGUAGUAGGUGGUGCAUCUUGCUACACUUCUCUGAAAGAGGGAGGAAGGAAAAGAAGCACAGACAAGUUUUAUGCAAGAAGGAAGAAGCAGGUUUAUGCUCCAAAAAUGGAGCGGCUGUGUUCAAAGGCUCCAGUAAGCAGACAUUAUUCAGCAAAUAACUGGGGUAAUGGUGUGUCAGGGACUGUGCUGAGGAGGGCUGCACUGAGGAGGAAUGGUGGGAGCCUCCCCCUCCCCCUGCUCCUGAUCUGGACCCUGAAUCUUCCCAGGAGGAGGAGGACAGUAUAGAUUUGGAACAGUGGUUUGCAGAGGGACAUAGUUCAGAAGGCAGAAGCUGGGAAACCCUGGAUGGGGAACAGCUAGGAGAAGAAACACUGGAAGAGAGAGGGUUAACAGAUUCACAGUCUCUGGACAGCAUCCAUCCCCCCCUCUCCAAAGUCAUGGAGAGCUCAGAAAGUGGCAGAACAGAAAGCACAGCGGGUACAAGCUCAGAUUACAAGAUGUAGAAGUGACGUAGAUUAAUAGGGACGUAAGAGGGUGGGAUCCUUAACUGGGAGCACAGGCCAAUUCUAGGAGGUGGGUUCUUUGUUCUCUCACUGUGAUUAAUAAAGUUUCUAACUAGUAAGAAGACUCCUUUUCCUUUGUUCUGCUUAUCUACUGCCACGGGGGAGGAAACCGAUUCCCUGAGGCCUGACAUGGUGCAUCCUCAAGGUCUGAUACUUCUCCAGAACACGACAGAUCUAAAACAGCUUGGUAGUCAAUUCUAAACCUGGAAUUUCUAAAUUCUAAACUGAGGUUUCUUUGGCUUCCCUGAGAUAAGGUCUCCCAGUCAUUCCUGCAAAAGCAGAAAGUCUGUCUGAACUAACUUAAAACCAGCAUUUGCUUGUGCGAAUUACCCUGAAAAGCAGCCCUGUCUAAAUCCCAUAAUGUAUGGCAUAAUGUAUGACCUUGAAGGAUUGCAGCAUUUAUGAAGAAGACUUGUGUUCUGAGAUGUGAUCUCAGAACCACUGGCAGUCAUCUUUGAGAAUUCCUGGAGAACAGGCGAAGUCCCGGCAGACUGGAGGAGGGCAAAUGUUGUCCCUAUUUUCAAAAAGGGGAAAAGAGAGGACCCAAAUAAUUAGCGCCCAGUCAGUCUGACAUCAAUACCAGGGAAGAUUCUGGAGCAGAUCAUUAAGCAAACUGUCUGUGAGCACCUAGAAAGGAAUGCUGUGAUCACCAAUAGUCAGCAUGGAUUUCUGAAAAAUAAGUCAUGUCAGACUAACCUGAUCUCGUUUUUUGACAGAAUUACAACCCUGGUAGAUGACGGGAAUGCAGUGGAUGUAGCCUACCUUGAUUUCAGCAAGGCAUUUGACAAGGUGCCCCAUGAUAUUCUUGUAAAGAAGCUGGUAAAAUGCGGUCUUGACUAUGCUACCACUCAGUGGAUUUGUAACUGGCUGACUGACCGAACCCAAAGGGUGCUCAUCAAUGGUUCCUCUUCAUCCUGGAGAAGAGUGACUAGUGGGGUGCCGCAGGGUUCUGUCUUGGGCCCGGUCUUAUUCAACAUCUUUAUCAACGACUUGGAUGAUGGACUCAAGGGCAUCCUGAUCAAAUUUGCAGAUGACACCAAACUGGGAGGGGUGGCUAACACCCCAGAGGACAGGAUCACACUUCAAAACGACCUUGACAGAUUAGAGAACUGGGCCAAAACAAACAAGAUGAAUUUUAACAGGGAGAAAUGUAAAGUAUUGCACUUGGGCAAAAAAAUGAGAGGCACAAAUACAAGAUGGGUGACACCUGGCUUGAGAGCAGUACAUGUGAAAAGGAUCUAGGAGUCUUGGUUGACCACAAACUUGACAUGAGCCAACAGUGUGACGCGGCAGCUAAAAAGCCAAUGCAAUUCUGGGCUGCAUCAAUAGGAGUAUAGCAUCUAGAUCAAGGGAAGUAAUAGUGCCACUGUAUUCUGCUCUGGUCAGACCUCACCUGGAGUACUGUGUCCAGUUCUGGGCACCACAGUUCAAGAAGGACACUGACAAACUGGAACGUGUCCAGAGGAGGGCAACCAAAAUGGUCAAAGGCCUGGAAACGAUGCCUUAUGAGGAACGGCUAAGGGAGCUGGGCAUGUUUAGCCUGGAGAAGAGGAGGUUAAGGGGUGAUAUGAUAGCCAUGUUCAAAUAUAUAAAAGGAUGUCACAUAGAGGAGGGAGAAAGGUUGUUUUCUGCUGCUCCAGAGAAGCGGACACGGAGCAAUGGAUCCAAACUACAAGAAAGAAGAUUCCACCUAAACAUUAGGAAGAACUUCCUGACAGUAAGAGCUGUUCGACAGUGGAAUUUGCUGCCAAGGAGUGUGGUGGAGUCUCCUUCUUUGGAGGUCUUUAAGCAGAGGCUUGACAACCAUAUGUCAGGAGUGCUCUGAUGGUGUUUCCUGCUUGGCAGGGGGUUGGACUCGAUGGCCUUUGUGGUCUCUUCCAACUCUAUGAUUCUAUGAUUCUUUGAUUGUGUUGAUUGGUCAGUCAGUUUCUCAGGAUUCCUGUCUCUGAUAUACUACUAUAUAGCUUUGUCUACAGCAUGGGUUUGUGGCUAUGGGAUGGAUGUAGGGACACUAGGUGCCAUUCUUAGUCAAUAUGGCAGACCAAAGUGUGGCCUUUGCAUGACUUCACCCUGUUAUUGGCAUGAUAUGUCCAAACUGCACUGGUAUGGAUGCCUCUGAAGAUCUCAUCACCCCCAUUUGGUGGGAGUUCACUCAAUUUGGCAUUACAGGUUCAAUCUGCACCAAUUUUGAUGGUUCUGAAGGUACUGUCACCCAAUCUGGCAUGAUGGGUUGCAACUGUAUCAGUUUGGAUGUCUCUUAAUAUAUUGUCACUGAACUUGGUACAAGGGUUCCUGAGGGGGAGGCAGAGAUCUUCCUCUAUAUUUGGAUGCCAGGAGCCAUUUUGAAUUAAGAUGGCAGACCAAAACAUGAGUUUGGCAUGAGGUCAUCCAGUUUGGCAUGAUGGUUACAAAUGAGGUUUCCCAAGGUGGAGGAGGUGGUUUUCGUCUACAUUUCGAUGCCAAGAGAUGCACUGAAUAAUGUGUGUGUGUGUGUGCGUGCAGUCCAAAAACACACAAGACUUUUUGGUUCAUAAUAUCUUCUGAGCAGUGCUGAACACUUUCUGCUAGUAAAUACAUGGAGGAGAAUUUCAAGAGGCUGUUGGCACAUAGAACUAGUGCAAUUCCACAUUUCUGUCACAAUUUUCAGACUUCCAGCCUCCGCAUAAAGUAAUCCUAGAGCAAAUGUGGCUUGGUAACCCUUGGAAGCUCAGACAGUAGAGCAUGAAACUCUUACUCUUAGGGUCAUGGGUUCGAGUCCCAUUUGGGGCAAAAGAUUCCUGCAUUGCAGUGGGUUGGACUGGAUGACUCUUGUGGUCUCUUCCAACUCUACAAUUUUAUGAUUCUAUGAAAAUGGCCAGCAUAUUGCAAUCAGAUUAUUAGGCUUUUAUGGUAUACUUUUAUGUCACUGUCCCAGGGUCCCAGACCCCUCCGAACUUAGAUAGCAGUCCUUUCUUCUUUGAGGCACAGAUCUCCUUAUCUUCUCUCAGCCUUCUUGUCAGACCAUUGAAGCCCUGCUGGUGAGGUGCUAAACAAGCCCACUUAACACACAAACUCCAUUAUAAAUUACAUCAUCCUCCAAGUGCCUCCCAGCUUGCUAGCCCUUACUCAGCUCUGAACUAUCCUGGCUGAUUGCUAGUUGGGCUACUUGUGAGAAAAGAGCCAGUUUAAUUGCUUCUUCCUCACAUCUUAAAAAACAAUCAAACUGUAGAUAUUGGCUAUUUCAGAUUGUACUGGUAGCAGGUUUGGGAACUGGAGGAAAGCACUUAAAUCUGUGAACUAGCAAUAAAGCCAGCAGCAGCAGCAGAGGUAAAUGUUGAGGCAGUGAGACCACAUCAUAUUACAAUCCCACUGGGUACACCUUCUUUUCUAAAUGAUUAAAUUUCUAGGAGUUGUAACAAGUUUAAGGGUAUAACAUUGUGUUAUAGGUAGGAAAGGAAACAGGGUGUACUGCUGCAUGAAAUAAUCAUGAGUACGAUGGACAUUUCAAAAACAGCAAUACAUACUAUGACUGGAGGUGAGGGGCCUGUAUCCUGGUUUAAUGCAACACUAUGAAAGCGGUAUCUUUCUAGCACUGCCCUAUAGUCUAGUAUCAUAGCAAGUGUGCCGAUAUCAGCUGCUGUACAUUGUAAAGACAUAUCUGUGAGGUGUUACAGAUCAGUGGUUCAACAGAGCAGAAAGGCAAUUUCAGAAUCGAAACAAGACAGACUCUCAGAACCAUUUAUCACAAUGCUAGCAACCCUUUCAUUCAAAAUCUAGCAAAACUGAAACUGUGCAAGGGAAGGGCUCCAUAGGAGAAAGGAUCUCCCUAUGAUCGUUCAAGUGGAGCUGGGCAUCUCACAGCUCAAGACCAUAGAUCUAUAUUGAUUUUCCCUGUUGGUUGUUUGGCGAGGAGUGGGAGGUGGGAAUAAGCUGCUAAGAAAGGUAGAUUAAAUUCUAUGUAAAUUGAAACAUUUUGAUAAAAAUUUUAAAGCAUUUUUCAGAAUUGUAGGCAUUAACACCAAUUUCCUUAAUAUUAUUUAUGCAGGUAUGAGGCUGCCAUAUUCUGAGAGACCUUUGGUCUAAUGAGCCCAGGAUUUUUCUCCUGGGCCUCAGGCAGAGUGGUCUUUUCUGUCAUUUGCUACUUGAUCAUUUUAACUGAAGAUGCCAGGGAUCGCUAGGGACAGAUUCUACCAACUUGGGGAAUCAGGGUAAGUCAUCUCCUUCAUCACCUAGGCUUCUUUGCUGCUUUGGGAUUGCAUCACUGGAGCAUCAUAGGCUAUCAACACUCUUUUGUCAAGUCCAAUACACUGGUCAGGUGUUACCAGUAUUACCUCAGCCAGUGAAAGGACUCCCACUAAAACAAUACGGUUCCCCCUCCUCUCCCUAAUCCACUCUGGAGGGUUGGGCAGGGGGCGGGGGAGGGGGGAGAUUGUCCCAUCAGACAAGCAGAAAUGCUUGUGCUGGUGGAAUGAUCUCCUUAGCACUAUAUUGAAUUCCACCCCAUGGGUUCCUAAAAAUAAUUGGUGGUAGUAUUGAAUAAAUGAGAUCAUUGAUUUUUUUUCAACAUUUUGUGAUUAUUCUAUGAAGCCAGCUGAAUGCUGUCGAAAUGGCAGCUUGGGAGCAGCUGCUACUGUUUUGUAUUCUGUUCUGCAGCCAGCAAAAAAUACACAAAGAAAGAAAGAAAAAUGUAUUAUGAAUGUCUUAACUAUUUCUGGACCAGCCUUGCUUCUUGCUUUAAAACUGGAUCAUUUGCUUACUUAUUAACUCACAAAUCAUGGCCAAACCAGGCUUGCGAAACAGGCUUAAGCCUUUCGCACUCCCUUUUCUCUUUUCCUAUUAUCUAUGUGUGCUCUGAUUGCCUGACUUCUUGUGUGACAUCUUGACUGGACAAGCUUCCAUAGUUUUACCCGCAUGAUUUCUGGGUCUGGUUUCCCGGAGAAAACUCUGGUUUGUGGUAACAAUAAUUUGCUCCCUUUGGAUGUCACUGUGUGUGGUGUGACUUCUUCAAAAUUUGAGGCACCAUUAAGAGGGAGAACUGUAUGAGAAGUAAGUUUAUUCAGAAAAUUGGCACCGUUCGGAUGCCAAAAGCUGAUUGCUAGCUCUGCUUCCUCAGUGUACCACAUUUUACUUGAGGGAGUUGAACAUCACUUUGUAGGAUAACGUCUUAUGUUCAGAGGCAAGGCUUUCCCCACAAGCAAACAUGCUAAGCAUGCUUGUUUCAUGAAACACCUGCUACUUUAGAUUACUAAUCCAUGCAUGGAUGGAUGACAGAAUAAGCCAAACGCUGACCAUCAGCCUGUCCUGCAUAGCAGCUAAGAAUCCCUGGUUUUAUUGCCUGAGAGUGAUCAAAACAAGAGAAUUGGGAAGCAGCCUGCAGGCUAAUGAAUACACUGCUGGGACUAGAAGGAUGUGCAUUUGGCUUUGCAAAUUGUGCAAGCUCACAUUAAGCUCUGUACAGUGGUACCUUGGGUUACAGACGCUUCAGGUUACAGACUCCGCUAACCCAGAAAUAGUACCCCGGGUUAAGAACUUUGCUUCAGGAUAAGAACAGAAAUUAGGCGGAGGCGGCGCAGCAGCAGCGGGAAGCCCCAUUAGCUAAAGUGGUAUCUCAGGUUAAGAACAGUUUCAGAUUAAGAACGGACCUCCGGAACGAAUUAAGUCCUUAACCUGAGGUACCACUGUAUAUAUAAUCAUGACAAAGGGUACUUGUAUUGGAAAACAUGCCUUUCUCUUCCCGACCCCCACCUCAUUUUUCUCACUAGUGGGUGUCAUUCCGGGGCUGUGGAAUUAGGAACACAUGAGUCAAGUAAGAUCUUUCUCUUCCACUGCUCCUGAUAUGUUCCACACUUCAGAGUGUCACCUCGCUGCUAAAGCCCUGCUGCCAAGGACAUCUGUUUAUAAACCCAGACUUGCUCCCUUAUUUAAAGAAUUCUGUUUCCUCUAAAGCUAAUUUGGUCUCUCUGAGCAGGAAGCCAGGUAGGCUCCUUUUCAUAUGCUAGGCAGACUAGGCAGUGCAGUUGAUCGAUUCACAAUGGGCAUGUAGUGGAAGAAGGAUAAAUAAAUGGCAGUUCCAGGAAUACAAUGGAGGAAAGGAGUUAAUAAUAAUUAAAAAGCAAGUAUUGCUUCGCUAUUGACUGGUUCUCGCCGAAUCUACUCCCUGACACUGUUUUCCAUGCACAAGGUAGUUUUUCAUUUCAAUUUCAACCCAAUGAAUGAGAGGUACCGUAACUUCUGAAGUGCAAGAGCUCAUCAUGACAGCCCCCAUCACCACACCCCAAACACAGUCCAAAGUGUUGAUCCCUUACAUAUAAUGCAGCAACAUAGCUUAUCUUAUCUUAAGACCUGGUUUGCUUUAGCAAGUUGUUACCUUAGUAGAACAUAUCACAAAGCUAUUUAAGAAGAAGAAAAUGGAUUCUUUGACAAUCCUAAAAUGAUGUCAUCUGACAUGAUGCAGGUACUUUUCAUUCUUCCUCUUCGCAGCAAAUAAUUGAACUGGAAGUGUGUGAUCAAAUUUAACAUAACAGAACAUUAAACACACUUUUUUCCAGCAUGCACAUAAUGCAAUUAGUGACCUAGCUAAUUCCCUGACAGCACAUUUAGUGAAGCUAUUGCAAACAAUAUUUCUUGGGUAAUUGUCUAAAAUCUAGAGAAUGUUAGAAUUGGUGGGGCGGGGGUAAUUUUUAAACAGAAAAGAUGGUUGUGCAAUCAUUUUGGCUCCAUAGAGUUAGAAUAAUAAAAUAGGUGACCUAAGAUAUUUUAUUGAUCCUAUUUUGUGAGCUUUCCAGCUCCAAUGUUUGAGUUUGAAGACUGUAGGACUAGAUGUUCACAGCAUGAAAUUGAUUUUGCUGUAAUUUGCCUGACUAUGCUGUUCUGAGAACAAAGGAAACCGUGAGAAGUCUGACUCCCAGUUGGUACAUUAAUGGACAGCCAAACAUUUUCCCAUGGUGAAGUACUUAGUGAACAACUCAACUUUCCAUAGUGCUCCUCAUUCAACCUAUGGCGUGAGGGAUUUUUGCAUUAGACCAGUGUUUCUCAAACAGUGGACCUUUCAGAUGGGUCUGAGUACCACAAUCUGUCCAGUGCAUCCUCAGCCACCUGGUCUACUUGCUAGCCAAGCAAUAGCCUUUGGGUAGCCUUUGGUAGCCUUUUAAAAAGAAAAAUUGCAAAUUGGUGCAGAAAUGGGGAGAGCUGAAAUUACGAUUGAAAAAAAUGAGAAUCUGCAAGAAACAAAAAUUGACAGAUUGCACCAUGCCAGUGUGGUGCCCUGCAGAUGUCAAAGGGCUGAUGGGAGUUGUAGUCCAACACACAUUCAGGGCACCACAUUCACUAUCUCUGAUGGAGAGUAUACAGCAAUAGUAAAGACUGUUCUAUAAAGACAGUGGCCCCAAAGAAAAGGAUUUGGGUGCUAGUGUCAUAGACAUGGCUGAAAAUGGACAUUUGCAAUGGAACAAAAGACCCCAGGAUAUAUUUUAGAAGGGAUGGGCAUCUGUAACUUUGACCAGGGAUUCUAAACCCCAGCAAGUGGGUGGAUAUCUAUAUUGCAUCCUGGUCCAAAGGCCUAUGGACUAUCAACAUUUCAGCUUUCUUCAUGUAUGUUUGGCUUUUUCAGGAGAUACUUCAGGAGAAAUUUUUUAUUUUUUAUUUUUAUUUACAUCCCGCCCAUCUGGCGGGGUUUCCCUAGCCACUCUGGGUGACUUACAACAUACCUAAAAACAAAAUAAAAAGUCAGAUAGUUGUUUAUUUCCUUGACAUCUGAAGGGAGGGCGUUCCACAGGGAAGGUGCCACUACCAAGAAGGCCCUCUUCCUGGUUGCCUGUAACUUUGAUUAUUGCAGUGAGGGAACCAGCAGAAGACCCUUGGCACUGGAUCUCAGUGUCUGGGCUGAGCAAUGCAGGUGGAGACGCUCCUUCAGGUAUACUGGGCAUAGGCUGUUUAGGGCUUUAAAGGUCAGCACCAACACUUUGAAUUGUGCUGGAAAAUGUACUGGAAGCCAAUGAAGAUCCUUUAGGACCAGUGUUAUAUGGUCCCAGGAAGAUCUUCAAGCCUGGGGUCCAAUGAACACAUUUCAAUUAAAUGUGAUUCUGCAGCUGAGAUGAAGACUUAUACACUCUGCUCCUAAAACAGUGACCAUGCUGUUUCAGCAGGCCUCUUAUAUAUCCAUGUCCUCUCUUGUCAUUCUCUGUAGCUCUUUGUUUGCUUCUCUAGCAACAGGUAUCUUCUCCUGGCAUUGUAUUUGCCACUAUAAUUCUGAGAUUCAGGUUGAGUGUGUAUAUACCAGUUCUCUUAUAAUCAUCUGCUUUCGAUAAGGUGUUUUUUCUUGGAUAGCAAACUUUUCCCCAUGGGUGUCAGCAGCCUCCUGGCUCUCAAUUAUGGAUAAUUAAGAAUAUCUUAUGAAUAAUAUGUUACCAACAGGUGUAAUAAAAGGCCUCUAUCAUAGGAGAGAAGUGUACACAAGGCUUAUUCUCCUAUGCUUCCAUAUAUAUAGAACAACUGGUUUCUAAUUAUAAUGGUGAACUGAUAUCUGGGCAGUGCUGGUGCCAGGCUAGUUUAUGCCCUGGGCAAGGCUAACUACUUGCACCCCUGUCAAAAAAUUGCUAACAUCAAUUUUCAAAAGCUGUAGAAAAAUAAAAAGCACAAAACUUGAAACUGCUAAAUUUAUUUACAGCGCAACAUGCUUUGAAUGUCUUUCCCAAAUGCAAAAGAAAAUAUUUUAGCUGCACACAAAGCUUAUUGAAUAAUCUUGCGAAAUGUGAUGUUAAAAUUCAAGUCUCUUGAAAGUUUCAAUUUCAGGCACAUCAAAAUCUCACUUUGCGUACCUUUGCAGAUUUUGUCACCAAUUCCUUCAGAUCAAGGGCUGGUGCUUGGCCAUGUUCAAAUGAUACAGUUUCCAAGCCAACCAGCCUCUUUUGCAACAUUGCUGAGUGCAUGUACGUUUUUAUAAGUCUGAGCUUUGAGAAACUGCAGACACCACUUGCCACUGACACCAGAAGCAUGAGAAGGCUCUUUAGAGUGAAAGAAACAUUAGGCACAUUAUCCAAGAGGUUUUGUUGUGGAAUGAAGAGAAGUACUCUUUGAAAGUCUUUGAGCUACUGCUAUAAGUUCACACCACAGAUCUUCAGCAUUGUUAUCUUUGUUUCCGCUGUGCAUCAAUUAUUUUUCCAAGUGCUUGCAGGCCUUAAGUACAUCUGAAGUAGAUUUUUUUUUGUAUAUAUCAUACAGAAAGACAAAUAAGGAAUUACCGUAUUUUUCGCCCUAUAGGACGCACUUUUCCCCCUCCAAAAAUGAAGGGGAAAUGUGUGUGCGUCCUAUGGGGCGAAUGCAGGCUUUUGCUGAAGCCUGGAGAGCGAGGGGGGUCGGUGCGCACCGACCCCUCUCGCUCUCCAGGCUUCAGAAAGCUAUCCGCAAGCCGUAUUAGCUAUCCGCUAAGUCGCGCAGCUCUCCCACGGCUAGCGGAGAGCUUGCCUGCACCCAGAAGCGCGCCCCAGGCUUCGGGCUUCGCGCAGCUGUCUGCUAGCCGUGGGAGAAGUCACGCAGCUCUCCCAUGGCUUGCGGAUAGCAGCCUGUUCUGGGGGCUGGGGUCGGGGGGAGCCCCCGGACCUGGGGGGGAAAUAAACAAAUUUUUCUUUAUUUCCCCCCCAAAAAACUAGGUGCGUCCUAUGGGCCGGUGCGCCCUAUGGGGCGAAAAAUACGGUAUAUUAUUGUAUCUGUUGGAAACUUUUUAACAGAUUGCAUGGUUGGCCAUGUCUAAGGCAGCAUAGUAGAAACCUACUCUGAAUUUCUACUUGGAAUCUGGCGGUGCUUCUUCUUAGGCCUCAUACUCAAAUUGCCAUUUAUUUCUCCUUUUUCUUUCUCAGAGUUUGGUAGCAUUCCUAGCUGCUUUGCAAUCUCAGUAUCAGCUAUCAAAACUUGUUGAAAACACUUUCAGCCCACAAGGUAAUUCUUGGUCCUUUGCUGAAUUUAAAUCAGCUUCCUUAUUUUGUAGUGGCUUGCUUGUAAGAUUGACUUCAAAAAGGAUGUUGUAACAUGGAACAAGGGAUACCACAAACUUGAACUUACAGACUGCAUCAGCAAGGGCCUUGGCAAUGGUACCUCACCUUGUCCUGUAGCUGUGUUGCCUUAUGAAGCACCUUGGUGAGUUGACCCAUGUCUUAGCCUUCUGUUAGUGAGAGGCAGUGCUCCAAUACACAUACAGUAAAAUUCACUUAAAUUGUUUUCUCCUGUACAGUGGUACCUCGGGUUAAGAACUUAAUUCAUUCUGGAGGUCCGUUCUUAACCUGAAACUGUUCUUAACCUGAGGUACCACUUUAGCUAAUGGGGCCUCCCGCUGCCAUCACGCAAAUUCUGUUCUCAUCCUGAAGCAAAGUUCUUCACCCAAGGUACUAUUUCUGGGUUAGUGGAGUCUGUAACCUGAAGCAUCUGUAAUCUGAAGUGUCUGUAACCCAAGGUACCACUGUACAUAUGCAAGAAGAGUCUGUUAUGUGGGCCUUGUCUUUGUUUUGCAAAAUGUAAUAUAAAGUUCUUCCCUUAGUGUUCCUUUACUGUUUUUCAUUUUUCAUUAUAUAGUGAUUCAUUUCCCUUGGUCCAUGCGGCUUGUGAAGAUAAAGGGACCUUGGCCCGCAAGGCUGAAAAAAGUUCCCCACCCCUGAUUUAUAUGAUUGCACCAUAAGUGGAAAUGUGGGUUUUGAAGAGUUGAGGCACCAAAGAACUGUUCAAGAAAGAGCUAUAGCUCUAAUAAUUCAUGCACACUGGGUAUGUUGUAUACAGCUUCCUGGUUUAUUUACUUUUUUAAACAGAAGUUGAUUUGGUUGCCAAGAGAAGAUGAACAAUUGAAAUGGGAGUAGCAUUGGGAAAAUGUGUAGGAAGUGACUGGGCAACAACAAAAAUAACACUGCUCACAUGCAGUGGUCUAAACCAAUGAGCCUCUUGGGCUCGCUGAUCGGAAGGUCAGUGGUUCAAAUCCACGUGAUGGGGUGGGUUCCCACUGCUCUCUCCCUGCUCCUGCCAACCUAGCAGUUCGAAAGCAUGCAGGUGCCAGUAGAUAAAUUGGUACCACUGUGGCAGGAAGGUAAAUGGCAUUUCCAUGCACUCUGGCUUCCGUCACGGCCCUUCAUGCACCAGCAGUGGUUUAGUCAUGCUGGCCACAUGACCCGAAAAGCUGUCUGUGGACAAACGCCGGCUCCCUUGGCCUGAAAAGUGAGAUGAGCACC